AUGAACGCUAGCGGCAGGCCUAAUCCCUGCCAGUCGGACGGGAUUCAGGAGCUUGCUUCUGAUGAGAGUGGCGCACGGGUGCGUAACACGUAUGUAACCUACCUUUAUCAGGGGGAUAGCCUCUCGAAAGAGAGAUUAAGCCCGCAUAAAAUCACAGCACAGCAUUGUGUAAUGAUCAAAUAUUUAUAGGAUAAAGAUGGGCAUGCGGAACAUUAGCUAGAUGGCGGGGUAACGGCCCACCAUGGCGACGAUGUUUAGGGGAUCUGAGAGGAUGGCCCCCCACACUGGUACUGAGACACGGACCAGACUCCUACGGGAGGCAGCAGUAAGGAAUAUUGGUCAAUGGGCGGAAGCCUGAACCAGCCAUGCCGCGUGCAGGAAGACGGCCCUACGGGUUGUAAACUGCUUUUAUACGGGAAUAAACCCAGAUACGUGUAUCUGGCUGAAUGUACUGUAAGAAUAAGGAUCGGCUAACUCCGUG
RNAcentral lists this ribosomal RNA (481 nucleotides) under uncultured bacterium. RNAcentral's name for it is "partial 16S ribosomal RNA". It matches the Rfam family "Bacterial small subunit ribosomal RNA", at positions 29 to 507 of the family's 1533-position model. The record is from RNAcentral.